UACGAAGGGGGCUAGCGUUGCUCGGAAUCACUGGGCGUAAAGCGCACGUAGGCGGAUCGCUAAGUCAGGGGUGAAAUCCUGGAGCUCAACUCCAGAACUGCCUUUGAUACUGGCAAUCUCGAGUCCGGGAGAGGUGAGUGGAACUGCGAGUGUAGAGGUGAAAUUCGUAGAUAUUCGCAAGAACACCAGUGGCGAAGGCGGCUCACUGGCCCGGUACUGACGCUGAGGCACGAAAGCGUGGGGAGCAAACGGG
RNAcentral lists this ribosomal RNA (253 nucleotides) under uncultured bacterium. RNAcentral's name for it is "partial 16S ribosomal RNA". It matches the Rfam family "Bacterial small subunit ribosomal RNA", at positions 524 to 776 of the family's 1533-position model. The record is from RNAcentral.